UGGGGAAUAUUGGGCAAUGGGCGCAAGCCUGACCCAGCAACGCCGCGUGAAGGAAGAAGGCUUUCGGGUUGUAAACUUCUUUUAUGAGGGACGAAUAAAGUGACGGUACCCUCAUGAAUAAGCCACGGCUAACUACGUGCCAGCAGCCGCGGUAAUACGUAGGUGGCGAGCGUUAUCCGGAUUUACUGGGUGUAAAGGGCGUGUAGGCGGGAUGGUAAGUCAGAUGUGAAAACUAUGGGCUCAACCCAUAGCCUGCAUUUGAAACUAUCGUUCUUGAGUGUUGGAGAGGCAGGCGGAAUUCCGUGUGUAGCGGUGAAAUGCGUAGAUAUACGGAGGAACACCAGUGGCGAAGGCGGCCUGCUGGACAAUAACUGACGCUGAGGCGCGAAAGCGUGGGGAGCAAACAGGAUUAGAUACC
This 418-nucleotide ribosomal RNA is filed under the name uncultured bacterium. RNAcentral's name for it is "bacterial SSU rRNA". It matches the Rfam family "Bacterial small subunit ribosomal RNA", at positions 355 to 786 of the family's 1533-position model. The record is from RNAcentral.